AUCCUGCCAGUAGUCAUAUGCUUGUCUCAAAGAUUAAGCCAUGCAUGUCUAAGUAAAAACUAAAUUAUGGUGAAACUGCAAAUGGCUCAUUACAACGGUUAUGAUGUACCCGGGAUUUCCGAUGGAUAUUUCCAGUAACACUAGAGCUAAUACAUGUAACUGCGUUUAUUAGUUUCAACAAAUCUGUCGCUGAGUCAUGGUAACGGUUGAUCGACUCGACGUCCCGGAACAGUUUCCGCCCCAUCAGCUUCGAUGGUUGGGUAUUGGCCUACCAUUGCAACAACGGGUAACGAGGAAUUAGGGUUUGAUUUCGGAGAGGGAGCCUGAGAAACGGCUACCACAUCUACGGAUGGCAGCAGGCGCGCAAAUUACCCAAUGCAGACACUGUGAGGUAGUGACGAGAAAUAAUAAAGUGGGGCUUCUGUCUCGCUAUUAUAAUGGGGAAUAACUAAAUGUCAUUCCUAGUAAAUACUUUGUGAGACCCACACAGAAAAUGAAAGUGUAUGGGUUCUGGGGGUAGUAUGGACACAAGUCUGAAACUUGAAGGAAUUAACGGAAGAGCACCAUAAGACGUGGAGCUUGCGGCUUAAUUUGACUCAACGCGGGAAAACUUACCAGGUCAAGACAUGGGCGUGAUUGACAGGCUAAUGACCUUUCUCGAUUCCUUGGAUGGUGGUGCAUGGUCGCACUUAGUUGGUGCAGUGAUUUGUCAGGUUUAUUCCGGUAACGAACGAGACCUCGGCCUUGUAACUAGCUUUAUCGCUGCUUACAGGGACAAUGUCGGCUACGUCAAGGAAGUUCGAGGCAAUUGCAGAUCUGGAAUGCCCUUAGAUGUCCUGGGUCGCACGCGUGCUACAAUGACGCCACGAACGAGUUUACGUGAUGAAAGUCAUGUAAAAUCACAAAUCGUCGUCUUAAGGGACAGUCUCUUGUAACUGUGGGACUCUAACUAGGAAUGUCUCGUAAGCACAAGUCAACAUCUUGUGUUGAUUACGUCCCUGCUCUUUGUACACACCGCCCGUCGCUCCUACCGAUCGAGUGUUUAGAUGAAUUUGACGGACUCACGGAAGUUAAAUAAAUCUGAUCACUUAGAGGAAGGAGAAGUCGUAACAAGGUUUCCGUAGGUGAACCUGCAGAAGGAUC
This 1143-nucleotide ribosomal RNA is filed under the name uncultured marine eukaryote. RNAcentral's name for it is "partial 18S ribosomal RNA". It matches the Rfam family "Eukaryotic small subunit ribosomal RNA". The record is from RNAcentral.